This 484-nucleotide ribosomal RNA is filed under the name uncultured bacterium. RNAcentral describes it as "partial 16S ribosomal RNA". It matches the Rfam family "Bacterial small subunit ribosomal RNA", at positions 30 to 507 of the family's 1533-position model. The record is from RNAcentral.
AUUGAACGCUGGCGGCAGGCCUAACACAUGCAAGUCGAGCGGAUGACGGGAGCUUGCUCCUGGAUUCAGCGGCGGACGGGUGAGUAAUGCCUAGGAAUCUGCCUGGUCGUGGGGGAUAACGUCCGGAAACGGGCGCUAAUACCGCAUACGCCCUGAGGGAGAAAGUGGGGGAUCUUCGGACCUCACGCUAUCAGAUGAGCCUAGGUCGGAUUAGCUAGUUGGUGGGGUAAAGGCCUACCAAGGCGACGAUCCGUAACUGGUCUGAGAGGAUGAUCAGUCACACUGGAACUGAGACACGGUCCAGACUCCUACGGGAGGCAGCAGUGGGGAAUAUUGGACAAUGGGCGAAAGCCUGAUCCAGCCAUGCCGCGUGUGUGAAGAAGGUCUUCGGAUUGUAAAGCACUUUAAGUUGGGAGGAAGGGCAGUAAGUUAAUACCUUGCUGUUUUGACGUUACCAACAGAAUAAGCACCGGCUAACUUCGUG